CGGGGGGCCUGUGGAGGACCCCCGCCUCGGUCGGCUCUGUCUCCUCCCUCUCCGCCCCGGGCCGCCCGCUGGGGCUUACGCCACUUCUCACGCUCUUACCGUGGGUCCCCGAGCUCCGUGGGGGGUUGUGGAGCUCCGAGGCCCGUCCGCGGGCCGGCCGAGUGGUUCCGGGUUUAGGGUUCACAGGUCAGAGUUGACUCCCAGAAAAGUGCAGUCGGUUUGAAAUGCAAGAUGGCGGCGGCGGGUGUCUGAGAGGCGCGGCGGCCCCUGCAGGCGAAGACUACAAGCUACUUCAGAACUAUAGUAAUGAUGGCCUGAGCUAACCACCUAACUGGAAUGAAGGUGCCCUUCCGUGUGAAAGAUCACAAUGCUGAGAAGGCCAUGGCAAGUGAUUGGCGUUGUGCUUCAAAAAUUUCAGCAGUUCAACAGUAUUUUAUCUGUCAACAGUAAGCUCUUUACUUGAUUGCACCAUGAAAAAGCUGCUAAAGAGACUUGUUGAGCACAAAAGUGGACUUGAAGAACCAGAAGCCAUUGUUUUCAAAUGAAGAAUCUUGAAUAGUUUUCAGCCUCAAUGCUUUUCAAUCAACACUGAGGUUUCGCCCAUAACAUCAGAAUGGCGAGCAGGCGAAAGUCAACAACACCUUGCAUGGUCCUGGCUAGUGAACAGGAUGCAGAUCUUGAGUUGAUAUCAGAUUUGGAUGAAGGUCCUCCAGUACUUACACCUGUGGAAAAUGCCAGAGCAGAGAGUAUCUCAAGUGAUGAAGAAGUUCAUGAGUCUGUGGAUUCCGACAAUCAGCAAAAUAAAAAAGUUGAAGGUGGCUAUGAAUGUAAAUAUUGUAGUUUCCAAACUCCAGAUUUAAAUAUGUUUACUUUUCAUGUGGAUUCAGAACAUCCCAAUGUAGUACUAAAUUCAUCUUAUGUUUGUGUUGAAUGCAAUUUUCUUACCAAAAGGUAUGAUGCACUUUCUGAGCAUAAUAUGAAAUACCACCCAGGAGAAGAGAAUUUCAAGUUGACAAUGGUGAAACGUAACAACCAGACAAUCUUUGAACAAACAAUAAAUGAUCUGACCUUUGAUGGUAGUUUUGUUAAAGAAGAAAAUGCAGAACAAGCAGAGUCCAUAGAAGUUUCUUCUUCAGGAAUCUCUAUCAGUAAAACACCUAUCAUGAAAAUGAUGAAAAAUAAAGUAGAAAACAAACGGAUUACAGUCCAUCAUAACUCAUCUGAGGACACUCCUGAGGAGAAAGAAAAUGAAAUCAAACCAGACAGGGAAGAAAAGGUAGAAAAUGCAAAUUCUUCAGCUCCAGAAUCUACCACCAGUACUUCCGUUGUAAACAGAAUACAUGCAAAUACUGGCAACACAGUGGUGACCCCCGCAGCAGUUCUUCCUGGGCUAUCACAGGUCAUAACCGCCGUGUCUGCUCAGCAGAACUCAAACCUGAUUCCCAAAGUCUUAAUCCCUGUUAAUAGCAUUCCUGCCUACAAUGCUGCACUGGACAACAAUCCUCUCCUACUGAACACCUACAACAAAUUCCCUUAUCCAACAAUGUCAGAGAUUACCGUUCUUUCGGCUCAAGCAAAAUAUACAGAGGAACAGAUCAAGAUAUGGUUUUCAGCUCAACGCCUAAAACAUGGUGUUAGUUGGACUCCCGAAGAAGUAGAGGAGGCGAGAAGAAAGCAAUUCAAUGGGACAGUGCAUACUGUACCUCAGACCAUAACUGUCAUCCCGACCCACAUUUCCACAGGGAAUAAUGGUUUACCAUCUAUUUUACAGACGUGUCAAAUAGUUGGUCAGCCGGGUCUGGUCCUUACUCAAGUAGCUGGAACAAACAGCUUGCCAGUAACAGCACCCAUAGCCUUGACAGUGGCAGGGGUUCCAAAUCAAACAAGUGUCCAGAAAAGUCAAGUCCCUGCUGCUCAGCCUGCUGCAGAAACGAAGCCGGCCAGUGCAGCACUUCCGCCCCCCCAGAAUGCCAAACCCGAAACUACGCUGGCAAACCCCGAUUCAUUUGGUAUUCGGGCAAAAAAGACAAAAGAGCAACUAGCAGAACUAAAGGUUAGCUACCUUAAAAGUCAGUUUCCCCACGACUCAGAAAUUAUCAGACUUAUGAAAAUAACAGGCCUCACAAAAGGUGAGAUUAAAAAAUGGUUUAGUGACACCAGGUACAACCAGAGAAACUCAAAGAGUAACCAGAGCUUACAUCUCAACAGUGAUUCCUCGGCCACCAUUAUCAUAGACUCCAGUGAUGAGGCCACAGAGCCCCCACCCGUGGCGGCCUCGCAGCCUAAGCAAUCCUGGAAUCCCUUUCCCGACUUCACGCCCCAGAAGUUUAAAGAGAAAACCGCAGAACAACUUCGGGUCCUUCAGGCAAGUUUUCUCAACAGCUCCACACUUACAGAAGAAGAAUUAAAUAGGUUAAGAGCACAAACCAAACUUACGAGAAGAGAAAUUGAUGCUUGGUUUACAGAGAAGAAGAAAUCAAAAGCUUUAAAGGAAGAGAAAGUCGAAAUCGAUGAAAGCAAUGCAGGUAGUUCCAAAGAAGAAGCUGGGGAAACUUCUCCCCAAGAAGAAUCGAUCACCCCCAAGUCAGCGAGUACGGGCAAGAUAUGCAAGAAAACCCCUGAGCAGUUGCACUUGCUUAAAAGUGCGUUUGUUCGAACACAGUGGCCAUCACCUGAAGAGUACGACAAGUUGGCAGAAGAAAGUGGACUUGCCAGGACAGACAUUGUUAGUUGGUUUGGCGACACCCGUUACGCGUGGAAGAACGGAAACCUGAAAUGGUACUACUACUAUCAAAGUGCCAGUUCAGGCAGAAUGAAUGGUCUAUCUUCCCUUAGGAAAAGAGGGAGAGGGAGACCCAAAGGACGUGGAAGAGGAAGACCUCGGGGGCGACCCAGAGGCGGCAAAAGAAUUAACAACUGGGACCGGGCACCAUCAUUGAUAAAAUUUAAAACUGGAACUGCCAUACUUAAGGAUUAUUACCUGAAGCACAAAUUUCUUAAUGAGCAAGACCUGGAUGAACUUGUCAACAGAUCACACAUGGGCUAUGAGCAGGUUAGAGAGUGGUUUGCAGAAAGACAGAGACGAUCUGAGUUAGGUUUAGAAUUAUUUGAGGAAAACGAGGAGGAAGAGGAAGUUGUUGAAGAUCAGGAAGAGGAUGAAGAAGAGACAGAUGAUAGCGAUACUUGGGAACCCCCACGACAUGUGAAGCGGAAGCUUUCUAAAUCGGAUGACUGAAGUGUGAAAGGAUUCAAAAACUAAAACUAAAAAGAAGGGGAAAAGUAUACUGAAGGAAGGAGACUUACUACAGGCUGCUUAAAAUGUUGAAGGAGAAUUAAUUCUUCAACUCAAGAUGUCUGAGUUACUGUGAAUGGGGCCAAUCUUUGGUGACACUGAGAAAUGUUACAAGGCAUACACACUCUGAAAAAAAACAGGAUCCAGUAUCCAAAAGAAAUGGACUUAAUGUGCCAAAGUUAAACUACUGCAGUUGGCGGAAGUUCUGCAAUGUAAAUAGAACACUAAUGAAAAAACAACUUGUAAAAAUUCAGAUUUUAGUACACUUCGUUUUUAUUCUGCUAGGAUGGAAACAUUCUGAAUCUUCAACUUUCUGAAGGGGGUUGAUGACCACUAGCACUUCUCAUUUUCAGUGCAGCUUACUGCUUUGUGUCUAGUUAAGACAGGCUGGACUGCCCGCAUUCAUCCAUAUAUGAUGAAGCUUACAGCUUUUGAGUGACCAAACAUUUUACAAAGUAAAAAUUACUUAGAAAUGGGAGAGAAAAAAUGCUGAUUUAUUUCUGUAAAUUAUUUAUUUGUCUCUGCACCAAGACUAAAAGUUGUACAAGGGCUUAAAAAAUUUCAAGUGUAAAAAUAUACACAUACUGGAAGAGAAAGAUUUGUGGUAUCACUGGCCCUUAAGGAUUAGAUCUUCCAUUAAGCACACUCAUGGGUACCACUAUUUCUACUUAGAAUAUGUGAUUUUUUCCAUUAGAUGCGAAUUUGCUUUGUACUAAGCUAAAAAUAAUGCCGAAGAAGGAAAAGAAACUGGUGUAAGUUGAAUAGAGUGAAAUGCCAUGCCAAAAAAUGUGAAAAAGAAUCAUGUAGUAAAAUACUUGGAGGGGGAUGGCUUUUUUUUUUUUUUACAAUCAUGUGGAAAUCAGGAAUGUUCAUAUUGGAUCAGAAUUUUCAAGAAUUACCUUUCAGUGGAAUUCCACCUUGUGUAACACUUUCAGGGAUUAGAGGAAAAAAAAUUCUGAACUGAUCCCAAUGAGUUAAAAGUUAGCUGUUUACUUAGAAUCAUGGGAAUGCUGUGAACUCUUGCUGUUAUCAGGAGACUGAAGGUUCACAGGAACUGACAACUUUGUAAAGACAGGUGCUGUUCAUCCCCGGUGAGAAGGACCUUCUCUUUUCAUAGGACCACUUUGCAUAAUGGGCUUUCUUCAUAGAGGAAAUGUUCAGAUUCAUUAGCUUUGAAUUUUUAAAAUGUUUUUCUGAAUGAUCACAUGUAGUGGGCUUGGCCAGUUUAUCUAAUUUAAUGAAUAAUAAACAUUAAGCUCUUGGUUAAAUGUCAGCUAAUGAAAAUGUUAUGAAAAAGCAUGCUGCUUUCAUUUUUACAAACUUUUUAUUUUUUAACGAUAGCUUUAUUAGUAACUCCAAAUGCUGCAAUUUAGCUGAUUCUUCCCUCAGACAGCUGGCUUUGUGGGUGGCUUUUUUCAUACUACUGGUAACUUUUUUAAAAGAAGCAAUGUAAAGACUGUAACAAUUGAAUGCACUAAACUGUUUUUUUCUUUUAUAUAUUCAGAACUUCUUAAAGCACUCUGUAUUAUAAUGAUUAAAUUGCUUCCUUUUUUAAAACCAUUGCUGAUGUGGUCUGAGUUUUGUUUGGCAGUAAUUUUUAUGUUUUCAAAAAUCUGAAAUGUCAAGUAUUAGAAAUGAAGCCUUUGAAUAUAUUUAUAUUAUGUUUCCCUUGUAAUAUGUUAACUGUAUAGCUGUAAACAACUACUAAUACAAUUUCCCAUCACUUUUAUAGGUUUGAUGAAAUUCUGCUCUGAUGUUCGCUAGCUUUAAAUAUAUUUAUUUGACAGAGCAACAGAACCUUUCCCUCCUGGUUGACUGUGACCUUGAAUACAAAAUAAAAGCAGUGAUGAGUAGUUUUCA
Dipodomys spectabilis (banner-tailed kangaroo rat) is the source of this 5152-nucleotide RNA transcript. It is a transcript of the gene named zinc fingers and homeoboxes 1, with no coding region annotated. The transcript has 5 exons. The record is from RefSeq and is a predicted model, not a curated record. Lineage: Eukaryota; Metazoa; Chordata; Mammalia; Rodentia; Heteromyidae.